Molecule: ribosomal RNA, 391 nt
Filed under: uncultured bacterium
Lineage: Bacteria
Description: partial 16S ribosomal RNA
Rfam family: Bacterial small subunit ribosomal RNA
Source: RNAcentral
AUACGGAGGAUGCAAGCGUUAUCCGGAUUUAUUGGGUUUAAAGGGUGCGUAGGCGGUUUGCUAAGCGGGAGGUGAAAUGCCGGCGCUCAACGUCGGAAGUGCCUCCCGAACUGGUGGACUGGAAUGACUCUGCCGUGGGAGGAAUGUGUAGUGUAGCGGUGAAAUGCUUAGAGAUUACACAGAACACCGAUUGCGAAGGCAUCUCACGAAGGGUUGAUUGACGCUGAGGCACGAAAGCGUGGGGAUCAAACAGGAUGAGAUACCCUGGUAGUCCACGCAGUAAACGAUGAUGGCUAACCGCUGGUUUUUUCGGAUCAGUGGCCAAGCGAAAGCGAUAAGCCAUCCACCUGGGGAGUACGACCGCAAGGUUGAAACUCAAAGGAAUUGACGG